Molecule: ribosomal RNA, 524 nt
Filed under: uncultured bacterium
Lineage: Bacteria
Description: partial 16S ribosomal RNA
Rfam family: Bacterial small subunit ribosomal RNA
Source: RNAcentral
GACGAACGCUGGCGGCGUGCCUAAUACAUGCAAGUCGAGCGCAGGAAGCCGUCUGAACCCUUCGGGGGGACGACGGUGGAAUGAGCGGCGGACGGGUGAGUAACACGUAAAGAACCUGCCCAUAGGUCUGGGAUAACCACGAGAAAUCGGGGCUGAUACCGGAUGUGUCAUCGGACCGCAUGGUCCGCUGAUGAAAGGCGCUCCGGCGUCGCCCAUGGAUGGCUUUGCGGUGCAUUAGCUAGUUGGUGGGGUAACGGCCCACCAAGGCGACGAUGCAUAGCCGACCUGGGAGGGUGAUCGGCCACACUGGGACUGAGACACGGCCCAGACUCCUAUGGGAGGCAGCAGUAGGGAAUCUUCCACAAUGGACGAAAGUCUGAUGGAGCAACGCCGCGUGAACGAUGAAGGCUUUCGGGUCGUAAAGUUCUGUUGUAAGGGAAGAACAAGUGCCGCAGGCAAUGGCGGCACCUUGACGGUACCUUGCGAGAAAGCCACGGCUAACUACGUGCCAGCAGCCGCCGUAA